Prunus avium (sweet cherry) is the source of this 2254-nucleotide non-coding RNA. The record is from RefSeq and is a predicted model, not a curated record. NCBI's taxonomy places the organism in Eukaryota, Viridiplantae, Streptophyta, Magnoliopsida, Rosales, Rosaceae.
CCUUUUUGCUUGCCAAACUUUGUCUUGAAUCCAGAGGUUAGAUGUGUUGAAGCUCUGACUUUGUGGCGCAACAAUUCUUCUGAUAUAAACAAUGAGCUAUAUAAAGGUUACCCAAAUGGGAACCCAGAGAGGAAAGUUAAUGAAAUACUUGCAACCUAUGAUUUCUUAAACUCAAAUGAGAACAGUUUUAAUGCAAUCCUAUGGUACAAUUCAAGCUUGAGGAGGAGUGUUGGUUCUGAUCUGCAGCGGAUUGGGCGCUCAGUGAAUCUGGCAUCCAAUGCCUACCUUCAGUUUUUGCAAGGACCUGGUACCAAAAUGCUGUUUGAGUUUGUCAAAGAAAUGCCUAAGCCUGUAACCAACGUAGUAAGCAUGCCGGAUCUUUCCUCUCUAAUUGGUCCACUCUUCUUUACAUGGAUCAUUUUACUGCUGUUCCCGGUUGUGUUGAAGUCACUGGUUUACGAGAAACAACAAAAACUGAGAAUCAUGAUGAAAAUGCAUGGCCUUGGUUAUGGACCGUAUUGGAUGAUCUCCUAUGCCUAUUUUCUUGCAGUUUCUUUGAUCUACAUGCUGCUCUUUAUGGCAGUUGGCUCCAUCAUAGGGUUAAAAUUCUUCACAAUCAAUGACUACAGCAUCCAGUUUGUUUUAUACUUCAUCUAUAUGAACUUGCAAAUAGCGGCGGCUUUCCUAGUAGCUUCAAUGUUUUCAAACGUUAAGGCUUGUACAGCUAUAGGUUACAUUCUGGUCUUUGGAACUGGGCUUUUGGCAGAAAAUCUUUUUCGAAGAUGCAUCUGUCUCUAGACGUGGGAUAAUUCUUUUACAAUUGUAUCCUGGCUUCUCUCUGUAUCGUGGAUUAUAAGAGCUAGCACAAUACCCCUUGCAAGAAAAAAGGGUUGGGAUGCGAUGGAGCAAUUUGAAUGAUAACCAGAAUGGGAUGAAAAAGGUCUUCAUUAUCAUGGUUAUUGAGUGGUUUGUGGUGCUUUUUGUUGCAUAUUGCAUUGACCAAGUUGUAUCAUCUGGAAGUGGAAAAAGUCCUUUAUUUCUCUUGCAAAGGAUUAGGAAGAAGAAACUUGCAUCUCUAAGGAGGCCUAGUUUGCAAAGGCAGGGAUCAAAAGUUUCCAUUCAGAUGGAGAAACCUGAUGUUAGUCAUGAGAUCGAGAUGGUUGAUAGGUUGGUAUUGGAAAAAAAUACAAGUCAUGCGAUCGUUUGUGACAACCUCAAAAAGGUGUAUCCGGGAAGAGAUGGAAACCCUGAGAAAUUUGCAGUGAAAGGGUUGUCUCUUGCUUUGCCUCCAGGGGAGUGCUUUGGUAUGCUUGGCCCCAAUGGUGCAGGGAAGACCUCUUUUAUUAGUAUGAUGACUGGUCUCACAAAACCAACCUCUGGCACAGCAUAUGUUCAUGGUAUGGACAUUCCGACGCAAAUGAACGAUAUAUAUACCAGCAUGGGAUUUUGUUCACAGCAUGACCUACUAUGGGAAACACUGACUGGAAGGGAGCAUCUACUAUUUUAUGGCAGACUUAAGAACCUCAAAGGUCGUGCCUUAAUGCAAGCAGUGGAAGAUUCUUUGAAGAGUGUCAAGCUUUUUGAUGGUGGGAUUGCUGACAAACAAGCAGGGAAAUACAGUGGAGGCAUGAAGACAAGGCUUAGCAUCGCAAUUUCGCUGAUAGGGGACCCCAAAGUUGUUUACAUGGACGAGCCUAGUACUGGACUUGAUCCAUCUUCAAGAAACCAUCUACGGAAUGUUAUAAAGACUGCAAAACAAGACCGGGCAAUCAUCCUAACCACACAUUCCAUGGAAGAGGCAGAGGUCCUGUGUGAUCGAUUAGGAAUUUUCGUAGACAGCAGGAUGCAGUGUAUAGGAAACCCAAAAGAGCUGAAGGGGAGAUAUGGAGGAUUGUAUGUCUUUACGAUGACAACAAGUUGGGAACACGAGGAAGAAGUGGACAGGAUAGUCCAGAAGUUGUCACCCACCGCGAACAAGACAUAUCGCCUGUCAGGGACACAAAAGUUUGAGCUGCCCAAAAAUCAGGUCAGAAUUGCAGAUGUAUUCCAAGCAGUGGAGUUUGCAAAGAGUAGAUUCCCAGUGUUUGCAUGGGGUGUGGUUAACAUUACUUUGGAGGAUGUCUUCAUUAAGGUUGCUGCAGCUGCAGCUGCAGCUGCAUUUUCAUCAUAUGAUAUAUGAAACCCCAACGUAGUACUAGAUUUUAACUUGAUUAACUGUUGAAUAUUGUUAGAAGAUGCAUUUAAUAUGCCUGCC